AUUGAACGCUGGCGGCAUGCCUUACACAUGCAAGUCGAACGGUAACAGGUCUUCGGAUGCUGACGAGUGGCGAACGGGUGAGUAAUACAUCGGAACGUGCCCAGACGUGGGGGAUAACGAGGCGAAAGCUUUGCUAAUACCGCAUACGAUCUAAGGAUGAAAGCAGGGGACCGCAAGGCCUUGCGCGUUUGGAGCGGCCGAUGGCAGAUUAGGUAGUUGGUGGGAUAAAAGCUUACCAAGCCGACGAUCUGUAGCUGGUCUGAGAGGACGACCAGCCACACUGGGACUGAGACACGGCCCAGACUCCUACGGGAGGCAGCAGUGGGGAAUUUUGGACAAUGGGCCAAAGCCUGAUCCAGCAAUGCCGCGUGCAGGAUGAAGGCCUUCGGGUUGUAAACUGCUUUUGUACGGAACGAAAAGGCUCUGGCUAAUACCUGGGGCACAUGACGGUACCGUAAGAAUAAGCACCGGCUAACUACGUG
RNAcentral lists this ribosomal RNA (482 nucleotides) under uncultured bacterium. RNAcentral describes it as "partial 16S ribosomal RNA". It matches the Rfam family "Bacterial small subunit ribosomal RNA", at positions 30 to 507 of the family's 1533-position model. The record is from RNAcentral.